CUGACUUCUAGGUCAUUUGACUAGUCAAGUUAAACAAAGACACAGGAGAGCAGGAAGGGCGAGGGCUCUGAAGGCAGCUGGGCCUCAUCUAUACGCUGCCUCUGCCUCUGUCAGCCAGGCAUCUGUAACCAAGGCCAAAAACGCCUUAUUUCAGGGUUAUUGUGAGGACGAGAGUUCUUUUGUGGAAAGCCAGGGAGCUAUUAAUCCUCCAGCCCUGGUUGUUCACCAAGCUCCUCAUGGAUUCGCACCUCGAGUUUUCACCUCCUUCUGCCUCCACGAGGUUCCGAAACAUCACACAAAGAUGGCUCUCACUGCCUGCGGCA
This is a non-coding RNA of Ceratotherium simum simum (southern white rhinoceros), 323 nucleotides long. The record is from RefSeq and is a predicted model, not a curated record. NCBI's taxonomy places the organism in Eukaryota, Metazoa, Chordata, Mammalia, Perissodactyla, Rhinocerotidae.